RNAcentral lists this ribosomal RNA (465 nucleotides) under Vreelandella stevensii. RNAcentral describes it as "partial 16S ribosomal RNA". It matches the Rfam family "Bacterial small subunit ribosomal RNA", at positions 338 to 795 of the family's 1533-position model. Lineage: Bacteria; Pseudomonadati; Pseudomonadota; Gammaproteobacteria; Oceanospirillales; Halomonadaceae. The record is from RNAcentral.
CCUACGGGUCGCUGCAGUGGGGAAUAUUGGACAAUGGGCGAAAGCCUGAUCCAGCCAUGCCGCGUGUGUGAAGAAGGCCUUCGGGUUGUAAAGCACUUUCAGUGGGGAAGAAAGCCUUGGGGCUAAUACCCUCGAGGAAGGACAUCACCCACAGAAGAAGCACCGGCUAACUCCGUGCCAGCAGCCGCGGUAAUACGGAGGGUGCGAGCGUUAAUCGGAAUUACUGGGCGUAAAGCGCGCGUAGGCGGUCUGAUAAGCCGGUUGUGAAAGCCCCGGGCUCAACCUGGGAACGGCAUCCGGAACUGUCAGGCUAGAGUGCAGGAGAGGAAGGUAGAAUUCCCGGUGUAGCGGUGAAAUGCGUAGAGAUCGGGAGGAAUACCAGUGGCGAAGGCGGCCUUCUGGACUGACACUGACGCUGAGGUGCGAAAGCGUGGGUAGCAAACAGGAUUACAUACCCGUGUAGUC